AGAGUUUGAUCAUGGCUCAGGACGAACGCUGGCGGCGUGCCUAAUACAUGCAAGUCGAGCGAGCGGAACUAACAGAUUUACUUCGGUAAUGACGUUAGGAAAGCGAGCGGCGGAUGGGUGAGUAACACGUGGGGAACCUGCCCCAUAGUCUGGGAUACCACUUGGAAACAGGUGCUAAUACCGGAUAAUAAAGCAGAUCGCAUGAUCAGCUUUUAAAAGGCGGCGUAAGCUGUCGCUAUGGGAUGGCCCCGCGGUGCAUUAGCUAGUUGGUAAGGUAAAGGCUUACCAAGGCGAUGAUGCAUAGCCGACCUGAGAGGGUAAUCGGCCACAUUGGGACUGAGACACGGCCCAAACUCCUACGGGAGGCAGCAGUAGGGAAUCUUCCACAAUGGACGAAAGUCUGAUGGAGCAACGCCGCGUGAGUGAAGAAGGGUUUCGGCUCGUAAAACUCUGUUGUUAAAGAAGAACAUAUCUGAGAGUAACUGUUCAGGUAUUGACGGUAUUUAACCAGAAAGCCACGGCUAACUACGUGCCAGCAGCCGCGGUAAUACGUAGGUGGCAAGCGUUGUCCGGAUUUAUUGGGCGUAAAGCGAGCGCAGGCGGUUUUUUAAGUCUGAUGUGAAAGCCUUCGGCUCAACCGAAGAAGUGCAUCGGAAACUGGGAAACUUGAGUGCAGAAGAGGACAGUGGAACUCCAUGUGUAGCGGUGAAAUGCGUAGAUAUAUGGAAGAACACCAGUGGCGAAGGCGGCUGUCUGGUCUGUAACUGACGCUGAGGCUCGAAAGUAUGGGUAGCAAACAGGAUUAGAUACCCUGGUAGUCCAUACCGUAAACGAUGAAUGCUAAGUGUUGGAGGGUUUCCGCCCUUCAGUGCUGCAGCUAACGCAUUAAGCAUUCCGCCUGGGGAGUACGGCCGCAAGGCUGAAACUCAAAGGAAUUGACGGGGGCCCGCACAAGCGGUGGAGCAUGUGGUUUAAUUCGAAGCUACGCGAAGAACCUUACCAGGUCUUGACAUACUAUGCAAAUCUAAGAGAUUAGACGUUCCCUUCGGGGACAUGGAUACAGGUGGUGCAUGGUUGUCGUCAGCUCGUGUCGUGAGAUGUUGGGUUAAGUCCCGCAACGAGCGCAACCCUUAUUAUCAGUUGCCAGCAUUAAGUUGGGCACUCUGGUGAGACUGCCGGUGACAAACCGGAGGAAGGUGGGGAUGACGUCAAAUCAUCAUGCCCCUUAUGACCUGGGCUACACACGUGCUACAAUGGAUGGUACAACGAGUUGCGAACUCGCGAGAGUAAGCUAAUCUCUUAAAGCCAUUCUCAGUUCGGAUUGUAGGCUGCAACUCGCCUACAUGAAGUCGGAAUCGCUAGUAAUCGCGGAUCAGCAUGCCGUGGUGAAUACGUUCCCGGGCCUUGUACACACCGCCCGUCACACCAUGAGAGUUUGUAACACCCAAAGUCGGUGGGGUAACCUUUUAGGAACCAGCCGCCUAAGGUGGGACAGAUGAUUAGGGUGAAGUCGUAACAAGGUAACC
RNAcentral lists this ribosomal RNA (1526 nucleotides) under uncultured Bacillus sp. Its description in RNAcentral is "bacterial SSU rRNA". It matches the Rfam family "Bacterial small subunit ribosomal RNA". The record is from RNAcentral. Lineage: Bacteria; Bacillati; Bacillota; Bacilli; Caryophanales; Bacillaceae.